This 411-nucleotide long non-coding RNA is filed under the name Malus domestica (apple). RNAcentral describes it as "long non-coding RNA (MDOM_LNC003160)". The record is from RNAcentral. Lineage: Eukaryota; Viridiplantae; Streptophyta; Magnoliopsida; Rosales; Rosaceae.
AAUUCACUUCACUCGUACUUCAAGUCAGAUAGAACGAUAGAAAGAGGCAAAAACUAAAAGCUAACAUUUGCAGCGAUGGCAUCCAUGACCAUGACAGCCGCCUCAUUCCUGACUGCAGGCUCAGCCUCAACCAUCGCCAAACCUUCAACUCCCAGCCGCCGGAGCCUCGUCGUGGCCAAGGCCGCAGCCAGAACCUCAGAGGGGGAAACAAAGAAGGAAGGGAGCAGCAACAGCAGUGGAAGGAGGGACUUGAUGUUUGCGGCUGCGGCUGCGGUGGCCAGCUCUCUUGCCAAGGCUGCCUUGGCGGAUGAGCCAAAGAGGGGGACCAAAGAAGCCAAGGAGAAGUAUGCUCCUGUUUGCGUCACCAUGCCAACUGCUCGUAUCUGUCGCAACUGAGGAAACCACUACGUA